AUGCCGUUCACCCCGGGACCCUACUCCGGCAAGAGCACCCUCGCCCUCGUGGCCAGGGUCUCCGCCGUCGGCGUCGGCCUCGUCUACGCCUCCGUCAAGCUCGGCAUCCUCAAGAUGACCAAGCCCAAGGAGGAAGCAGCUGCUGCUCAUCACUGA
RNAcentral lists this ribosomal RNA (156 nucleotides) under Triticum aestivum (bread wheat). Its description in RNAcentral is "partial small subunit ribosomal RNA". Lineage: Eukaryota; Viridiplantae; Streptophyta; Magnoliopsida; Poales; Poaceae. The record is from RNAcentral.